Molecule: ribosomal RNA, 405 nt
Filed under: uncultured bacterium
Lineage: Bacteria
Description: partial 16S ribosomal RNA
Rfam family: Bacterial small subunit ribosomal RNA
Source: RNAcentral
AUUGAACGCUGGCGGCAGGCCUAACACAUGCAAGUCGAGCGAGUGGCGGACGGGUGAGUAAUAUAUCGGAACGUGCCCAGUAGCGGGGGAUAACUACUCGAAAGAGUGGCUAAUACCGCAUACUAUUGGAGCGGCCGAUAUCGGAUUAGCUAGUUGGUGGGGUAAAGGCUCACCAAGGCAACGAUCCGUAGCUGGUUUGAGAGGACGACCAGCCACACUGGGACUGAGACACGGCCCAGACUCCUACGGGAGGCAGCAGUAGGGAAUUUUGGACAAUGGGGGAAACCCUGAUCCAGCCAUCCCGCGUGUAUGAGAAGGCCCUAGGGUUGUAAAGUACUUUCAGUCGGGAGGCGUUACCGACAGAAGAAGCACCGGCUAACUACGUGCCAGCAGCCGCGGUAAUUC